This is a ribosomal RNA of Pteropus vampyrus (large flying fox), 119 nucleotides long. Lineage: Eukaryota; Metazoa; Chordata; Mammalia; Chiroptera; Pteropodidae. The record is from Ensembl.
AUCUAUGGCCAUGCUACCCUGAACAAGCCCAAUCCCUUCUGAUCUUGGAAGCUAAGCAGGGUUGGGCCUGGUUAGUACUUGGAUGGGAGACCACCUAGGAAGACCAGGUGCUGUAGGCA